GAUGAACGCUGGCGGCGUGCUUAACACGUGCAAGUCGAACGAUGAAGCCCAGCUUGCUGGGUGGAUUAGUGGCGAACGGGUGAGUAACACGUGAGUAACCUGCCCUUAACUCUGGGAUAAGCCUGGGAAACUGGGUCUAAUACCGGAUAGGAGCGCCUACCGCAUGGUGGGUGUUGGAAAGAUUUAUCGGUUUUGGAUGGACUCGCGGCCUAUCAGCUUGUUGGUGAGGUAAUGGCUCACCAAGGCGACGACGGGUAGCCGGCCUGAGAGGGUGACCGGCCACACUGGGACUGAGACACGGCCCAGACUCCUACGGGAGGCAGCAGUGGGGAAUAUUGCACAAUGGGCGAAAGCCUGAUGCAGCGACGCCGCGUGAGGGAUGACGGCCUUCGGGUUGUAAACCUCUUUCAGUAGGGAAGAAGCGAAAGUGACGGUACCUGCAGAAGAAGCACCGGCUAACUACGUG
RNAcentral lists this ribosomal RNA (466 nucleotides) under uncultured bacterium. Its description in RNAcentral is "partial 16S ribosomal RNA". It matches the Rfam family "Bacterial small subunit ribosomal RNA", at positions 28 to 507 of the family's 1533-position model. The record is from RNAcentral.